Felis catus (domestic cat) is the source of this 275-nucleotide long non-coding RNA. RefSeq lists it as uncharacterized. NCBI's taxonomy places the organism in Eukaryota, Metazoa, Chordata, Mammalia, Carnivora, Felidae. The transcript has 2 exons. The record is from RefSeq and is a predicted model, not a curated record.
CCGCGGUUCAUUGUUUUUCUGUGUCAAGGAUGCCUGACAACAGAUGGGGAAGCAGUUUACCAGAAGGCCGGCACUCAGCCUCAUGGAGAGGGAGUCCAAAAGGCAAGGGCUGACUAUUGAUUACAAGGAAGACCUCCGAGCGAGCUGAAGAUAGCAGAGCUGCCGGCAGUAUGGGCUCCUGAAUCGACACACAGUGGAGCCAACCACCUGCCCGUGCCCUCACCGCACCCUGAGCCGGGAUGUGAGAAAUAAACUUCGACUGGGACGUCGUGGCA